RNAcentral lists this ribosomal RNA (253 nucleotides) under uncultured bacterium. Its description in RNAcentral is "partial 16S ribosomal RNA". It matches the Rfam family "Bacterial small subunit ribosomal RNA", at positions 524 to 776 of the family's 1533-position model. The record is from RNAcentral.
UACGAAGGGGGCGAGCGUUGUUCGGAAUCACUGGGCGUAAAGGGCGCGUAGGCGGCCCUCCUUGUCGCGUGUGAAAGCCCCGGGCUCAACCUGGGAACGGCGCGCGAGACGGGGGGGCUGGAGUUCGGGAGAGGUGAGUGGAACUGCGAGUGUAGAGGUGAAAUUCGUAGAUAUUCGCAAGAACACCAGUGGCGAAGGCGGCUCACUGGCCCGAUACUGACGCUGAGGCACGAAAGCGUGGGGAGCAAACAGG